Molecule: long non-coding RNA, 343 nt
Filed under: Carica papaya (papaya)
Lineage: Eukaryota; Viridiplantae; Streptophyta; Magnoliopsida; Brassicales; Caricaceae
Description: long non-coding RNA (CPAP_LNC013085)
Source: RNAcentral
AAAGGAAACUAAUUUUGGCCUAAUUUUGUUUUCUAAUCCAUCACAAGUCCAAUAAUAGCCUAAGAUCAUUUAAUAUAGGCUUGGAGAAUCAGAUAAAUGGAUCCAAGGAAUUAGGUCAAGAAGCUCCAACAAGCCUUCAAUCUUUUGACCAUAGAAUGGAUAAGUGAAGAAUUGAAAAAAAAGGCCCAAAAUUAAUUGGUAAUCCACGACCAAAGCAUGUCAUACAUGUGAGUGUCCUAACUCACAUGUGCGACCAAAAGGAAGAGCUCGUUCUCGCGAGACUCCUUGAGGCGUGAUGAAUCCUCUUCACCUGUAACUUCUCCGCAUGUAUCUCUGAUUUCAA